This 447-nucleotide ribosomal RNA is filed under the name uncultured bacterium. RNAcentral describes it as "partial 16S ribosomal RNA". It matches the Rfam family "Bacterial small subunit ribosomal RNA", at positions 29 to 523 of the family's 1533-position model. The record is from RNAcentral.
AGCGAACGCUGGCGGCAGGCCUAACACAUGCAAGUCGAGCGCCCCGCAAGGGGAGCGGCAGACGGGAGAGUAACACGUGGGAACGUGCCCUUUGGUUCGGAACAACCCAGGGAAACUUGGGCUAAUACCGGAUAAGCCCUCACGGGGAAAGAUUCAUCGCCGAAGGAUCGGCCCGCGUCUGAUUAGCUAGUUGGUGGGGUAAUGGCCCACCAAGGCGACGAUCAGUAGCUGGUCUGAGAGGAUGAUCAGCCGCACUGGGACUGAGACACGGCCCAGACUCCUACGGGAGGCAGCAGUGGGGAAUAUUGGAAAAUGGGCGCAAGCCUGAGCCAGCCAUGCCGCGUGGGUGAUGAAGGCCCUAGGGUUGUAAAGCCCUUUCGGCGGGGAAGAUAAUGACGGUACCCGCAGAAGAAGCCCCGGCUAACUUCGUGCCAGCCGCCGCCGUAA